AGGAUUCUUCAUUGUUGCAGUUUUACCGGUGUUUCUCACCGUGACAAGAUACGAUUGGGAUGUUACAUGUGGCAAAAAAAUGGGCUGCUCACGUUCAGUCAGGAGAUCAGUGUGGUUCACUCUCAUGUUAUUAGUCAAUGCUGUAAUGGUCUGUUUCUACAUCGUUGCUUUGGAAAAAGAAAAAGAUCGUAUUGGAUGGGCCUGUGUUAUUGUGUUUCUUCAGUUACUCUGGGCAAUGAGGGACUUCUUACACUCAUUUAAAUGGGGUACAGUAUUAAUCAUCAGCUCUGAUCAUCUUCUCGUUUUGAUGUUUUCCUACUAUAAACUCUAGAUUGAUGUCUUCAAACCCUUU
Onychostoma macrolepis is the source of this 352-nucleotide long non-coding RNA. RefSeq lists it as uncharacterized. The transcript has 3 exons. Lineage: Eukaryota; Metazoa; Chordata; Actinopteri; Cypriniformes; Cyprinidae. The record is from RefSeq and is a predicted model, not a curated record.